This 491-nucleotide ribosomal RNA is filed under the name uncultured bacterium. RNAcentral describes it as "partial 16S ribosomal RNA". It matches the Rfam family "Bacterial small subunit ribosomal RNA", at positions 29 to 506 of the family's 1533-position model. The record is from RNAcentral.
AGUGAACGCUGGCGGUAGGCCUAACACAUGCAAGUCGAACGGCAGCACAGUAAGAGCUUGCUCUUACGGGUGGCGAGUGGUGGACGGGUGAGGAAUACAUCGGAAUCUACUUUUUCGUGGGGGAUAACGUAGGGAAACUUACGCUAAUACCGCAUACGACCUACGGGUGAAAGCAGGGGAUCUUCGGACCUUGCGCGAUUGAAUGAGCCGAUGUCGGAUUAGCUAGUUGGCGGGGUAAAGGCCCACCAAGGCGACGAUCCGUAGCUGGUCUGAGAGGAUGAUCAGCCACACUGGAACUGAGACACGGUCCAGGCACCUACGGGAGGCAGCAGUGGGGAAUAUUGGACAAUGGGCGCAAGCCUGAUCCAGCCAUACCGCGUGGGUGAAGAAGGCCUUCGGGUUGUAAAGCCCUUUUGUUGGGAAAGAAAAGCAGCAGGUUAAUACCCCGCUGUUCUGACGGUACCCAAAGAAUAAGCACCGGCUAACUUCGU